This 465-nucleotide ribosomal RNA is filed under the name Vreelandella stevensii. RNAcentral describes it as "partial 16S ribosomal RNA". It matches the Rfam family "Bacterial small subunit ribosomal RNA", at positions 338 to 795 of the family's 1533-position model. The record is from RNAcentral. Lineage: Bacteria; Pseudomonadati; Pseudomonadota; Gammaproteobacteria; Oceanospirillales; Halomonadaceae.
CCUACGGGGUGCAGCAGUGGGGAAUAUUGGACAAUGGGCGAAAGCCUGAUCCAGCCAUGCCGCGUGUGUGAAGAAGGCCUUCGGGUUGUAAAGCACUUUCAGUGGGGAAGAAAGCCUUGGGGCUAAUACCCUCGAGGAAGGACAUCACCCACAGAAGAAGCACCGGCUAACUCCGUGCCAGCAGCCGCGGUAAUACGGAGGGUGCGAGCGUUAAUCGGAAUUACUGGGCGUAAAGCGCGCGUAGGCGGUCUGAUAAGCCGGUUGUGAAAGCCCCGGGCUCAACCUGGGAACGGCAUCCGGAACUGUCAGGCUAGAGUGCAGGAGAGGAAGGUAGAAUUCCCGGUGUAGCGGUGAAAUGCGUAGAGAUCGGGAGGAGUACCAGUGGCGAAGGCGGCCUUCUGGACUGACACUGACGCUGAGGUGCGAAAGCGUGGGUAGCAAACAGGAUUAGAUACCCCAGUAGUC